Long non-coding RNA from Felis catus (domestic cat), 1508 nucleotides. RefSeq lists it as uncharacterized. The transcript is spliced from 2 exons. The record is from RefSeq and is a predicted model, not a curated record. Lineage: Eukaryota; Metazoa; Chordata; Mammalia; Carnivora; Felidae.
GGGGCUCGAACUCACAAACUGUGAGAUCAUGACAGCUGAAACCAAGAGUCAGGUGCUUAACUGACUGAGUCACCCAGGCACCCCAAGGUUAAAGUAUCGAUAGGGUUUUCACUCUCCUUUCAAAUAGCCUUCUGGAAGUUUAUGGAUGGCCAUAGGUCUGCGUCCCUUCCCUUGCUGAGUAUUGCAAGGUUUUCUCUUUCCCACCUGAGUGUCAUGAGCCCAAGAGCUUCCUCGGCAAGGUGCUCAGGCCCCUCUGGAGUAAUUUCAAUGUGGCCACUGGGAGUGCUGGGCCUGGUCUCUAGGUCAUUGGCUUCAUGUCUGUCCCUGCAAUGCACUUCUGAUCAAUGCCAAAAACAUAUUUCAAGUUCUGAGUCUAGGGUACCUUUCUUUCCCCUCCACCAUUUGGUAUUGAAUGUUUGUCUUCCCUCGUGUCAUACCACGAGGAGAAGGAACACGUAUGUCUUGUUCUUUCUUAUGUUCCCAGGGUGUAGCAGAGUGUCUGACCCAUACUAGGUUCUCAGUCAAGAUUAAUCUUUGCUUCUUCCCAUCCACUCCAGCCACCUUUUUCUUCUGACAUGGCCCCCAUCUCCCAGCACCUGUGAAGCCCAUCCCGGCCACCGAAACCUGCAGGGUGGAGAGGAGGGAGAGGAGGGAGAGGGAGAACAAUCGCUUCUGGUUCUUCCACUAAUUGUCUCUCUGCCCAGCUCCCUAUGUGGGCCGUUCUUGUUCUUGGAUGCUUGGAUCGCUCUUUAUCUCCUCGCCAUCUGUGUAAGGGGAUCCUGCCAAGAUGAUCAGAUGUGAACUCAGCGCCAGAAACAUUUUAAUUAAUUUAUGGUGAUAAAAUGCGAAAAGAAAACCAAUGAGGAAAGUCUGGGCCAAAGAAAAUUAAACAUAAGAGGAAACAAAGAAACUGGAGCCAUGUGGCCUUGGAAGGAAGGGCCUGGUUGGCAAAGGAGCCAGCAAACACUCUCUCUCUUGCCCUCUUCUCUUUUCUAAUAACGCCCAAGUGGAAAAGCCACAGAGGACCCAGGGACUCGAGGGGGCAAGCGAGAAAAUUGAGUAGCUUGCUCUUGGCCUUGGCUUCUGGAUUAGGUUAAGUGAACAUGGGUGUGUAGAAGACAGAGAGCAAGGCUGUAGGAUUGCCGACCCCUGUUGUAAUAGGGGUGGUCGGUGUUUCUCAGGUAAGCAGAAGAGGGAAGAGUCUUAAGCUCCAGCUCUGGAAAAACCUUCAGCAGAUGCUUAAAUAAGUCAAUAUUUAAUGUAAGGAUGGCUUCCUUGCAGCCUGACAAAUACUACUUGGAUGGGGGUAAUGCCUCAAUUGGGAAAACGCUGAAGAAAACCAGUAUUAGCUAGCUUUUUCCCAGCUGAGACAAAAACAGGUUAGCAAUACUGGCUACCAGGUCAUUUGACUUAUUUGCAAGGUUGAUUUGAUUUAGUUUUUCUUCCUUUUCCCUCUUUUUAAUGUGAAAUACUUACCAAGUGCUGAAUAAAGACAAAUUUUGCAGUGA